RNAcentral lists this unclassified non-coding RNA (224 nucleotides) under uncultured Chytridiomycota. RNAcentral describes it as "sequence contains ITS1". Lineage: Eukaryota; Fungi; Chytridiomycota. The record is from RNAcentral.
CAAAAUUGGUAUCUUACCAAAACACCGUGUGCACCAUAACUGUUCUUGGUAGCGUAUUGGAUGGGUCACGUACCCCACAUCAGCAGUGCGCGUGAGGACUUCGGUCUUUGACUGUGCGAGUCAGCUGUGGGACCUACUGGCCUUUCUCGAUCGCUGCCGCACGUCCAAACAUUGUAUUACAAAAUUAUAGUCUGAAUCAGUUCACCACAAAGUGAAAUGAAAAA